AGUUACUCCUUGUGGACUGAUGUGUUAAACAUGUUUUACGAAGAUGAAAAGGGGCUCAGGAACUUGCAUGGGCACUGAUUGGAGGGCCCGCGAUCUCACCAGGACCUGAGCGUACUUUCAGUGCCUGCCCAAAGGGAGCUGGGACUCCGGCAUGACGGAGAGGCUGGAGUGCAUUCCCAGCCCUGCUAGAAAUGGCUGCUUCUCAGGAGCAGACGCGGUGCAGAGAAGUAGUGAUUUAGCUCGCUGGUCAUUAGCUGCGAGACGUUCUCCCCGGUCUGGGUGCCGACACCAGGAGAGAGGAGCCCCGCACAAGUUCUAUAUACAGAUUGUCACAUCGUCAGCGGUGAAGGGGAAGCUCCGUAAUUACUGAGAAGCACGGACUCCUGUGUGAAGCCAUCCUUGGAGACAAGCUGACAGCGAAACUGGGGACUGUCCCCAUGUGCCAACAUUCAAGAACAUCUUGAAGCCCCUGAUGUAUAAUCCUGAUCAGCAGUUGUAGAAGAGUAAAGAUUCAUUCAUCAAUAAAAUCCAAAGACUCC
This is a long non-coding RNA of Mustela erminea (ermine), 539 nucleotides long. RefSeq lists it as uncharacterized. The transcript is spliced from 5 exons. NCBI's taxonomy places the organism in Eukaryota, Metazoa, Chordata, Mammalia, Carnivora, Mustelidae. The record is from RefSeq and is a predicted model, not a curated record.